Long non-coding RNA from Monodelphis domestica (gray short-tailed opossum), 1337 nucleotides. Lineage: Eukaryota; Metazoa; Chordata; Mammalia; Didelphimorphia; Didelphidae. The record is from Ensembl.
GGAGGUUUUGGAUUUCAGAUUAUCUGAAUUCAAAUUCAUUUCUCUUCCCAAAUGAGAGAGAAGGUUCUUGGAAUAGAAGCCCUAAGGCAUGCCAAGGAAGGAAAUAAGCAUAUUAUCUUUUUUGAUCCUCACAACAUCCUAGGAGGUAGGUAUUAUUAUUAUCUCCACUUUAUAUUUGAAUAAACUAGGGCAUGCAGAAAUAAAGUGACUUGCCCAGGGUCACACAGCCAGGCAUUAUCUGAAGCCAGAUUUGAACCUAGAACCUCCUGUCUCUAAGCCUGGCUUUCAAUCCACUGAACCACCCAGCUGCCCCCUUAAGCAAAUUUAAAUGGUUAAAGUCAACACAGAAAUAAAAUUUAAGCUAAAUUAACUUCUCAUUUUUUGGUGUUGCAUUAUGUGAGUAAUUGAUAUCUUUCAAGGGCUUUAAGAUUUACACAGUAUUUUUAUAUGAUUUCUCUCAUGUGUUCUUUAGAACAUUUUGGGGGAGAGAUAGUAGAUGAAUUAUUAUUGUCCCUUUUUUUCUUAGAUGAAAAAAAAAAUGAGACUCAGAAAGAUUAAGUGACUUGCCAGUUAAUGCCAGCAGCAGGAUUCAUACCUAGAUCACCUGAUUCCAAGAGUGUUCUUUGAAUGCAAACAACUUACCCCACCUUUUUAUUAUUAUUGACAGAUACUGUGAUAAUCUCCAUGUAAAGAGUUUCCAGUGAGGCUCUCCAUCUACUAAGGAAGACUGGCACUUGCUCUGCAAUUUAAAGCCUGGGGACACUAAGUGGGCAAUGAGGUGGCACAGUGGACAGAGUGCCAGUCUUGGAGUCAGAAAGAUUCAUCUUCCUGAGUUCAAAUCCGCCUGAGACACUAACUGUGUGUACCUGGGCAAGUCAUUUAACUCUAUUUGCCUCAGUUUUCUCAUCUGUAAAAUGAACUUGAAAAGAAAGUGACUAACCACUCCAGUAUCUUUGCCAAUAAAACCCCAAAUGGGGUCAGGAAGAUGGCUGAGGAAGUUACUAGUCAAGAGAAGGGAGAGCAUUACAAGUCUUGGGGACAACCAAAGAAAAUGGCCAGAGAAGAGAAAUGAAGAGUCUUGCUUGUGGAACCAUCACUGGAUGGAAGAGUAUUUGUUGGGAAGGGAGGAAGCCUGGCAAGGCUGGCAUCACAGGAAACACAGUGUCUUGAAGUUACAAUUGAGGGGCUCCAUAAUGGUCUGGCAUUCUUUUGAUGUUCUACCUGUAGUUGGAAAUGUAUAUGAUGGGAACUUCAGGGAUCUUCCAGACUCUUCACUUAAGGUACACAUUCUAUGUAUUGUGCUACCCAUAUUUGUAAGACGCCUUAGAAACCACUGA